UACGUAGGGGGCAAGCGUUGUCCGGAAUCAUUGGGCGUAAAGAGCGUGUAGGCGGCCCGGUAAGUCCGUUGUGAAAGUCGAGGGCUCAACCCUCGAAUGCCGGCGGAUACUGCCGGGCUGGAAUCCGGAAGAGGCGAGUGGAAUUCCUGGUGUAGCGGUGAAAUGCGCAGAUAUCAGGAGGAACACCAAUGGCGAAGGCAGCUCGCUGGGACGGUAUUGACGCUGAGACGCGAAAGCGUGGGGAGCAAACAGG
RNAcentral lists this ribosomal RNA (253 nucleotides) under uncultured bacterium. RNAcentral describes it as "partial 16S ribosomal RNA". It matches the Rfam family "Bacterial small subunit ribosomal RNA", at positions 524 to 776 of the family's 1533-position model. The record is from RNAcentral.